RNAcentral lists this ribosomal RNA (492 nucleotides) under uncultured bacterium. RNAcentral's name for it is "partial 16S ribosomal RNA". It matches the Rfam family "Bacterial small subunit ribosomal RNA", at positions 29 to 507 of the family's 1533-position model. The record is from RNAcentral.
AGUGAACGCUGGCGGUAGGCCUAACACAUGCAAGUCGAACGGCAGCACAGUAAGAGCUUGCUCUUACGGGUGGCGAGUGGCGGACGGGUGAGGAAUACAUCGGAAUCUACUUUUUCGUGGGGGAUAACGUAGGGAAACUUACGCUAAUACCGCAUACGACCUACGGGUGAAAGCAUGGUAUCUUCGGACCUUGCGCGAUUGAAUGAGCCGAUGUCGGAUUAGCUAGUUGGCGGGGUAAAGGCCCACCAAGGCGACGAUCCGUAGCUGGUCUGAGAGGAUGAUCAGCCACACUGGAACUGAGACACGGUCCAGACUCCUACGGGAGGCAGCAGUGGGGAAUAUUGGACAAUGGGCGCAAGCCUGAUCCAGCCAUACCGCGUGGGUGAAGAAGGCCUUCGGGUUGUAAAGCCCUUUUGUUGGGAAAGAAAAGCAGCAGGUUAAUACCCCGCUGUUCUGACGGUACCCAAAGAAUAAGCACCGGCUAACUUCGUG